CCUACGGGUGGCAGCAGUGAGGAAUAUUGGUCAAUGGACGAGAGUCUGAACCAGCCAAGUAGCGUGAAGGAUGACUGCCCUAUGGGUUGUAAACUUCUUUUAUAAGGGAAUAAAAUGUUCCACGUGUGGGAUUUUGUAUGUACCAUAUGAAUAAGGAUCGGCUAACUCCGUGCCAGCAGCCGCGGUAAUACGGAGGAUCCGAGCGUUAUCCGGAUUUAUUGGGUUUAAAGGGAGCGUAGGUGGAUUGUUAAGUCAGUUGUGAAAGUUUGCGGCUCAACCGUAAAAUUGCAGUUGAAACUGGCAGUCUUGAGUACAGUAGAGGUGGGCGGAAUUCGUGGUGGAGCGGUGAAAUGCUUAGAUAUCACGAAGAACUCCGAUUGCGAAGGCAGUUCACUGGACUGCAACUGACACUGAGGCUCGAAAGUGUGGGUAUCAAACAGGAUUAGAUACCCUUGUAGUC
This 460-nucleotide ribosomal RNA is filed under the name uncultured bacterium. Its description in RNAcentral is "partial 16S ribosomal RNA". It matches the Rfam family "Bacterial small subunit ribosomal RNA", at positions 338 to 795 of the family's 1533-position model. The record is from RNAcentral.